This 253-nucleotide ribosomal RNA is filed under the name uncultured bacterium. RNAcentral describes it as "partial 16S ribosomal RNA". It matches the Rfam family "Bacterial small subunit ribosomal RNA", at positions 524 to 776 of the family's 1533-position model. The record is from RNAcentral.
UACAGAGGUGGCAAGCGUUGUUCGGAAUUAUUGGGCGUAAAGCGCUUGUAGGCGGCUUGUUAAGUUCCGUGUGAAAUCCCCAGGCUUAACCUGGGAAGUGCGCGGAAAACUGGCGAGCUUGAAUGCCGGAGAGGGUCGCGGAAUUCCAGGUGUAGCGGUGAAAUGCGUAGAUAUCUGGAGGAACACCGGUGGCGAAGGCGGCAUCCUGGACCGGCAUUGACGCUGAGGAGCGAAAGCCAGGGGAGCAAACGGG